RNAcentral lists this ribosomal RNA (497 nucleotides) under uncultured bacterium. RNAcentral describes it as "bacterial SSU rRNA". It matches the Rfam family "Bacterial small subunit ribosomal RNA", at positions 28 to 526 of the family's 1533-position model. The record is from RNAcentral.
GAUGAACGCUAGCGGGAGGCUUAACACAUGCAAGUCGAGCGGGAAGGGUAGCAAUACCCUGAGAGCGGCGCACGGGUGCGUAACGCGUAUGCAACCUGCCUUAUACAGGGGGAUAGCCCAUGGAAACGUGGAUUAAUAUCCCAUAGGAUUACGGAGUCGCAUGAUUUUGUGAUUAAAACUACGGUGGUAUAAGAUGGGCAUGCGUCUGAUUAGGUAGUUGGUAGGGUAACGGCCUACCAAGCCGACGAUCAGUAGGGGUUCUGAGAGGAUUACCCCCCACACUGGUACUGAGACACGGACCAGACUCCUACGGGAGGCAGCAGUGAGGAAUAUUGGUCAAUGGGCGAGAGCCUGAACCAGCCAUCCCGCGUGCAGGAUGACGGCCCUAUGGGUUGUAAACUGCUUUUCUGCUCCAAGAAACCCACCUACGUGUAGGUGGUUGACGGUAGAGUAGGAAUAAGCAUCGGCUAACUCCGUGCCAGCCGCCGCUGUAACAC